GCCUCGGUAGCCUAGAGGUUAUGGUCGCGGAUUCACGAUCGACGUUGUUUUCGUCGAGUCGUGGGUCACUAAAGACCCACCACGUAGCGGGGCU
Nephila pilipes (giant wood spider) is the source of this 94-nucleotide non-coding RNA. Lineage: Eukaryota; Metazoa; Arthropoda; Arachnida; Araneae; Nephilidae. The record is from the annotation of a GenBank genome assembly.